Molecule: ribosomal RNA, 465 nt
Filed under: uncultured bacterium
Lineage: Bacteria
Description: bacterial SSU rRNA
Rfam family: Bacterial small subunit ribosomal RNA
Source: RNAcentral
CCUACGGGGCGCACCAGUGGGGAAUAUUGCACAAUGGGCGCAAGCCUGAUGCAGCCAUGCCGCGUGUAUGAAGAAGGCCUUCGGGUUGUAAAGUACUUUCAGCGGGGAGGAAGGCGAUAAGGUUAAUAACCUUGUCGAUUGACGUUACCCGCAGAAGAAGCACCGGCUAACUCCGUGCCAGCAGCCGCGGUAAUACGGAGGGUGCAAGCGUUAAUCGGAAUUACUGGGCGUAAAGCGCACGCAGGCGGUCUGUCAAGUCGGAUGUGAAAUCCCCGGGCUCAACCUGGGAACUGCAUUCGAAACUGGCUGGCUAGAGUCUUGUAGAGGGGGGUAGAAUUCCAGGUGUAGCGGUGAAAUGCGUAGAGAUCUGGAGGAAUACCGGUGGCGAAGGCGGCUUACUGGUCUGCAACUGACGCUGAGGCGCGAAAGCGUGGGGAGCAAACAGGAUUAGAUACCCGGGUAGUC